RNAcentral lists this long non-coding RNA (502 nucleotides) under Nicotiana tabacum (common tobacco). Its description in RNAcentral is "long non-coding RNA (NTAB_LNC014990)". The record is from RNAcentral. Lineage: Eukaryota; Viridiplantae; Streptophyta; Magnoliopsida; Solanales; Solanaceae.
AGCUUUAUGAGGUAAUCAUAGUCCGCUCUAGCCCUCGCCGGUGGUGCGGCCAUUGAACAAUCAAUUCGUAUAUGAUAUUACACACACAGACACACACACCUCUGGAAUCACAGAAAAUGAUCAAAUUAAUAACAAAAAAACACAAUUAAUAAGCAACAAAAAGCAGAUCAAAAUCUACAAAAAUGAAUCUAAUGAUUUUCACAGAGAGAUAGAGGAGGGGGGUUACCAAUUGGCUAUUCUUCGCACUUUGUGCUGCGUGCGCUUAGCAAAAUUGUUCGAAACGAAGAGAGUGGGGCGGGUGAUCACGCGCUUUAUGUAGAGAAAUGGAAAAGUUUAACGUGGUGCGUUUUGAUUGGAUAUGAGGAAAGGUAUAUUAAACGACAAGAAAUGUGUGCGUUGUAUGUUUGAGCUGGAAUUUGUAAAAUGGGGAUGGAGUUUUUAAAGGUACAAAUCUACAAAGAUGUGAGCAUUGAUUGGAGCAACGAGAGGUACAACUGUUAAC